Oenanthe melanoleuca is the source of this 3397-nucleotide long non-coding RNA. RefSeq lists it as uncharacterized. Lineage: Eukaryota; Metazoa; Chordata; Aves; Passeriformes; Muscicapidae. The transcript has 4 exons. The record is from RefSeq and is a predicted model, not a curated record.
AAAGCUCGGAGGCCAACGUUUUCCUGCUGGACGUUCAGGAAUUCUGUGAUGUGCGUGAUAUUUCACGUUGCUUAUUCUGUGUUUUGUUGUACACUAAGCUUGUGGCAGUACAAUCUAAUCUCCAAUAGGAACUUUAUUUUUAUAAGUUCCCCGAAGCUUGGAUUGUUUGCACUCGUUCUAAGGCAACCAGCAAUGUCUGUGGAAGAGGAAAAGCUUUUCCGUGUAACACCUAUCCUGUCAACAGCUGUAAUACUAAAUUCUCAGCUUUAUGCAUGAUGCUAAAGAUUUUCAAUUGGACAUAAUUUUGCAUAUGACUUUGUUUAAUUUUGCUUUAAUAGCACCAGUGGAUAUUUGGAAAUGCCAUGUGUCUCAACAAGCCAAAUUGCUAGGCAAAUUGAUUUUCCUCUAAUUUGAUAACAAGAAAUUCCCUCUGAAGCUGAGAUUUUGCCUGCCCAUUUGUUAAACCAGGUUAACAGACUUUUGCAGGUGAAUUGUAAAACGUCUAAAAGUUUUAAUUCAAGCAGAAAUGCAGGCAGUGGCACUGUGAUAAUGUUAGAAACAAUGCAUGUAUAUUGCUUUGUAGUGCACCAGAUUGCUCUGUAGGUUUAUGGGAAUGGCUACAGUCCUCUUGGAAGGUUGGAUAUUGUUAGAUUGGAAGAUAUUGGCUUCAGUUUUUGUGGCAACAAGAGUUUUCCAUAGCCCUCGCAAUGGCUGGUGGAUCUCAGUGUGGUUGAAAGCAGCACACAGAAAAAGUCCUAUUUACAUCCUUUCCUGAGACUCCAUCAGGUGAUCUGGUGACAGAGCUCUGGCUAAAUCUGAAAGGACUUUUUUUUUUCUCCCCAGAAUUCAUUUACCUGAUACUUACUUCUUCUAUUCUUCUGGUGACAAUUGCAAAAGUUUAAUGGAAAAAUAAUUAUUAUUUCCACUUCAAUUAUAGUUGGGUUUAUUUCUUCUGCAUUGUAGCAAUUUUGCAUUGUAGGCCUUUGAUUCAAUAGAAUAAAAUCCUGUCUUUGAAAAUAAGAAAGCUGGGUGAUCAAACAUGGUCAAAUCAUGAUAGGAUGCUUCAAAAGUAAGUUUACUGUGUUAAAUGUUUUGUUUUGGGUUUUUUUUUUUUUUUUGUUUGGUUUGGUUUGGAUUUUUUGGAAAGCAGCAGAUACAUGGCAACUAUCUCCCACUAAAUGUAAUUUGGGUAAUUUAUUAUAAUUUUAUAGUAUGUUCAGACUUCAGUUUAGAAAAUAUUUAGGUUAGUUUCAACACUGGUUUUACUAAGUUAAUGUUACCACAUUAGCCUAGACCCUCACCAGAACAUGAAAAAUCUCAGGUAAUAAACCUCUGUUGUUUUCUACUUAGUUAUCAAAGGAUAAGAAUGAUGGAAUAAUUUGUUAAAGGUAUGAAAAUUUCAGUCAAUCACAUGUUGAUUUUGUGACUUCUGGAGAUUUUUUUUUUUUUGCUACUAUUAGACCAAAACAUUUUCAGCAUGCACCGAGCCCUAGAUAAGUUUCUGUGUGCAUUGGCAGGAAUCAGUAGUUUUAAAUUUGAAAAGUAGUCUUCCUAAAUUGUUACAGUUAUAAAAACAUUUGCUUUUUGCAGAUUUUAUAGAUGUUCCCACUUUGGGAAUAGUUUUUACAUUUUCAGCGUCCCAUAUAUGCUAUGACAGCACAGUUCUAAUACUGUAAACAUUUUUGGUCAUCCAGUUUUUAAUGAAAAUUUGUAGUUACUAAAAUAUUAAUGUGAUGAGUUGUUUUGUACAAGCCAUAUCUUUUAAGAAGUAAAAGGUGAAUUUUAGGCUUGAGUUGCUGUACUGUGAUCUCUGGGGCUUUGUGUGGGCCCAGACCCUCUGCCCAUGGCUGCAGGAUCAGAAUUCAGCCAUGAGCCUCCCUCUUCCAAACCACCCCUGCAACAAAACCUUGCCAUUGAUAUGAAGCCAAAUCCAGCUUAAGCUGAAAAAGAUACAGCUCUAGUUGAGCAAAUGGUGUUCUGUGCCUGUGUGCCCACUCUGACUUUAUUUGCAAAUCUGAUUUACAGGCUGUGGCAGUGGGUAAUUUGGAGAACUGCAAACAUACAACCACAGUUGAAAAGUUCAUCACCUGCUUGACAGUUCUACUCUGCCAUGCAGGGCAAGGAGUUGUUCUGUAGCCAUCACUUUCACUGCUGGGAAGAAAUGAUGUGCAAAGAGACUUCAUCCUGAUGACUUUGGCAUUUGUGUGAAACCACAAAGUGGUAGAUGCAAGAGGCAGGAUUGCAAGCUCUGAAGUUGAAUCACAGAAUGGAUCAGGUUGGAACAGACCACAGUGAUGUGAUCCAACUUCCCUGCUCAACCAGGGCCAUCCCAGAGCACAUGGCAGAGGACUGUGUUCAGUUAGAUCCUGAAUAUCUCCAGUGAUGGACACUCCAUGCCCUCUCUGGGCAAUCCAGUGCAUGAUCACCCACACAUUAAAGAAGUUCUUCCUUGUUUCUGCCCACUGCCUCUUGUUCUAUUGCUUGGCUCCCUCCUCUUGGUAUUUCACUUCAGAUACUUACUAACAAUGAUGAGGUCUCCUCUCAGUCUUCUUUUGAAGCUGAAGGCCCAGUUCUCUCAACAUUCCUCAUAAGUGAGAUGCUCCAGUCCCUUAACCCUCUUUCUUGCCCUCCACUGGACCUGCUUCAGGAGCUCCAAGUCUCUCUUGUCCUGAGGAGCCCAGAACUGGGCACAGAACUCCAGAUGUGCCUCAUCGGGGCUGAGCAGAGGGGCAGGAUCAGCCCAAGUGACCUGCUGGCAAUGCUGUUCCUAAUGCACCCCAGGAUGCCAUUUGCCAUCUUGGCCACAAGGGCACUGAUGGCUCAGGGACAGCUUGUUGUCCACCAGGACCCCCAAGUCCUUCUCCACAGAGUUGCUUUCCAUGUAUACAUAUAUAUAUAUAUAUAUAUAUAUAUAUACACAGAGUUCCAGUUCAAAUCUUGACAAGAUAGAUCUACUUUUGUUUAUUGCUGCUCUGGUAAGAGACCUUCAUGGCAAUUGUAUUCAUCAUGAUUCACCCUGUUUUAUAAUAGAAUUUGGCCUCAAGCUCCUGUGCAUGGCUGCAUUUCAGAGUUGCCAAAUGCAUGUCCUGGUCAUCACUUUGAAUAAGUUAUUUCAUUGCAAACCCAUGAGUAACAGUAUUUCUAAUUUCCACUUUGUUGCUUAAGCAACCUGUUUGGAUCUGUACCUUCAUGUAGAUGUCACUGAAGACCUCCAACAAAUGUGUGGUUACUGGCAAACUAAAAAAUGUUGCAACUUCAGCUCUGUAGAAGCCUCUGCUCAUACCUACGCUCUUGGGUUAAACAAGAACCAUUUAUUACACAAUUAGGAAUCCUCUCUAUAUGGCUUUAUUUGAGUUCUGCUCUGACAAGGACAAGUGUCACACACACAAAAAAAUAA